RNAcentral lists this ribosomal RNA (253 nucleotides) under uncultured bacterium. RNAcentral's name for it is "partial 16S ribosomal RNA". It matches the Rfam family "Bacterial small subunit ribosomal RNA", at positions 524 to 776 of the family's 1533-position model. The record is from RNAcentral.
UACGUAGGGUGCGAGCGUUAAUCGGAAUUACUGGGCGUAAAGCGUGCGCAGGCGGUUUUGGAAGCGAGAUGUGAAAUCCCCGGGCUUAACCUGGGAAUGGCAUUUGGGACUGCAAGGCUUGAGUGCGGCAGAGGAGACUGGAAUUCCUGGUGUAGCAGUGAAAUGCGUAGAUAUCAGGAGGAACACCGGUGGCGAAGGCGGGUCUCUGGGCCGAUACUGACGCUGAGGAGCGAAAGCGUGGGGAGCGAACAGG